Labrus mixtus (cuckoo wrasse) is the source of this 161-nucleotide long non-coding RNA. RefSeq lists it as uncharacterized. The transcript has 2 exons. The record is from RefSeq and is a predicted model, not a curated record. NCBI's taxonomy places the organism in Eukaryota, Metazoa, Chordata, Actinopteri, Labriformes, Labridae.
ACAGACAGAUAGACAGACAGAUAGAUAGAUAGAUAGAUAGAUAAAUAGAUAGAUAGUUUAUUGAUCCCGAGGGAAAUUCAAAGCAUCCAGUAGCAGGUUACAAAGACCAAAAAAAUCUGUAAUUAGACCUGAAUAUAAAAAAUAAAAAAGUGUUGACCUUC